Molecule: long non-coding RNA, 1043 nt
Organism: Spodoptera frugiperda (fall armyworm)
Lineage: Eukaryota; Metazoa; Arthropoda; Insecta; Lepidoptera; Noctuidae
Exons: 4
Source: RefSeq, a predicted model, not a curated record
AGUAGUUUCCACAUAACAUUGUGUGUACGAAUGGGCCAUAGUUACGAACUUCAAUAACUUUUACGUGUGAUAUCACACUAAAUAAACACAUAAGUAAUCGGUAACAUGUAUUAUUUACUUGCCUUACUUGGUUUGCAUAACACUGUUAUAAUUUAUUAGUACCUAUUAUUUUGAUUAAUGCCUCAAAAUCAUUUAAUUAUUUCUAGAUUACACCAGAUGACCAUGUUUACCAUGAAUGCUGGCAGCUAGCUAGUCAUUCAUGUUCUUCUGAUAAUAUGCCGAGAAGACACAUAGGCCAUCAGUGUUUGUGUUGUAUGUGGACAACCCAUACUAAGAAUCAGGCAAUGCAGAAUUUUGAUUGAAGAAGAACAAAGAAUGGCUUACACAAUUGCUAAUUGGAUCUAACCACGACAGCUUCAUCCUGAAGAUAAAGCUUGUGUGCGGUGUUGGUUAAGAGUGAGAACUAAGGAUACUUCACUAAAUGAAGAUAUUCAAUCCGUUCAACCUAAUCAGCAGAAAAGUGAUAAUUCUGAACUGAUGUGUGCUGCAUGUGGUCAAAGUCUUACUCCCAACAACACUGCUUGUUUGUUGGAGCACCAGCAGACACCUUCCAUGAAUGAAGUUUGUGAAGUUUGCUGGGGCCAAGUAUGCAAUUUGAGCUUCUAUGUUCCAGAUGGUCUAUGUUGCUUCAAGCUAAAAUAAAGUCCUGCCACUCUUCUCCUAGAACUUAUUUUGUUUUCAUAGUUGCAGAAACAAAUAUGAAUAGCCGGGACACAAUCAAAAGUGAUUGCUGUAAUUGUAUUGUAGGUUUAAGAACAGUGGGAUGCUGCUCACAUGUUAUGAGCAUUCUUUGGUAUUUGAGUUAUGCUUGCCAUGAGGGUAUGAGCCGACCUGCCCCUUUCUUGGAUGAAGUAAUAUUAAGAACCAAUCAAGUAAUUAUAAGAAAAUAAAGUAAAUGAAAUUCCUACAAAAACUAAGUUGUUUUAUUUACCUACGCUCAAAACUCCAUCAGCACUUAAUCAUUAUCAAACUAUUGUAGACCG